This 467-nucleotide ribosomal RNA is filed under the name uncultured bacterium. RNAcentral's name for it is "partial 16S ribosomal RNA". It matches the Rfam family "Bacterial small subunit ribosomal RNA", at positions 28 to 507 of the family's 1533-position model. The record is from RNAcentral.
GACGAACGCUGGCGGCGUGCUUAACACAUGCAAGUCGAACGGAAAGGCCUCUUUCGUGGGGUACUCGAGUGGCGAACGGGUGAGUAACACGUGAGUAACCUGCCCUUGACUUUGGGAUAACUUCAGGAAACUGGGGCUAAUACCUGAUAGGAGCUCCUGCUGCAUGGUGGGGGUUGGAAAGUUUCGGCGGUUGGGGGUGGACUCGCGGCUUAUCAGCUUGUUGGUGGGGUAGUGGCUUACCAAGGCUUUGACGGGUAGCCGGCCUGAGAGGGUGACCGGCCACAUUGGGACUGAGAUAAGGCCCAGACGCCUAAGGGGGGCAGCAGUGGGGAAUAUUGCACAAUGGGUGGAAGCCUGAUGCAGCAACGCCGUGUGCGGGAUGACGGCCUUCGGGUUGUAAACCGCUUUCGCUCAUGACGAAGCUUUGUGUGACGGUAGUGGGUAAAGAAGCACCGGCUAACUACGUG